GUCGAACGAACUCUGGUAUUGAUUGGUGCUUGCAUCAUGAUUUACAUUUGCCUGAGUGGCGAACUGGUGAGUAACACGUGGGAAACCUGCCCAGAAGCGGGGGAUAACACCUGGAAACAGAUGCUAAUACCGCAUAACAACUUGGACCGCAUGGUCCGAGCUUGAAAGAUGGCUUCGGCUAUCACUUUUGGAUGGUCCCGCGGCGUAUUAGCUAGAUGGUGGGGUAACGGCUCACCAUGGCAAUGAUACGUAGCCGACCUGAGAGGGUAAUCGGCCACAUUGGGACUGAGACACGGCCCAAACUCCUACGGGAGGCAGCAGUAGGGAAUCUUCCACAAUGGACGAAAGUCUGAUGGAGCAACGCCGCGUGAGUGAAGAAGGGUUUCGGCUCGUAAAACUCUGUUGUUAAAGAAGAACAUAUCUGAGAGUAACUGUUCAGGUAUUGACGGUAUUUAACCAGAAAGCCACGGCUAACUACGUGCCAGCAGCCGCGGUAAUACGUAGGUGGCAAGCGUUGUCCGGAUUUAUUGGGCGUAAAGCGAGCGCAGGCGGUUUUUUAAGUCUGAUGUGAAAGCCUUCGGCUCAACCGAAGAAGUGCAUCGGAAACUGGGAAACUUGAGUGCAGAAGAGGACAGUGGAACUCCAUGUGUAGCGGUGAAAUGCGUAGAUAUAUGGAAGAACACCAGUGGCGAAGGCGGCUGUCUGGUCUGUAACUGACGCUGAGGCUCGAAAGUAUGGGUAGCAAACAGGAUUAGAUACCCUGGUAGUCCAUACCGUAAACGAUGAAUGCUAAGUGUUGGAGGGUUUCCGCCCUUCAGUGCUGCAGCUAACGCAUUAAGCAUUCCGCCUGGGGAGUACGGCCGCAAGGCUGAAACUCAAAGGAAUUGACGGGGGCCCGCACAAGCGGUGGAGCAUGUGGUUUAAUUCGAAGCUACGCGAAGAACCUUACCAGGUCUUGACAUACUAUGCAAAUCUAAGAGAUUAGACGUUCCCUUCGGGGACAUGGAUACAGGUGGUGCAUGGUUGUCGUCAGCUCGUGUCGUGAGAUGUUGGGUUAAGUCCCGCAACGAGCGCAACCCUUAUUAUCAGUUGCCAGCAUUAAGUUGGGCACUCUGGUGAGACUGCCGGUGACAAACCGGAGGAAGGUGGGGAUGACGUCAAAUCAUCAUGCCCCUUAUGACCUGGGCUACACACGUGCUACAAUGGAUGGUACAACGAGUUGCGAACUCGCGAGAGUAAGCUAAUCUCUUAAAGCCAUUCUCAGUUCGGAUUGUAGGCUGCAACUCGCCUACAUGAAGUCGGAAUCGCUAGUAAUCGCGGAUCAGCAUGCCGCGGUGAAUACGUUCCCGGGCCUUGUACACACCGCCCGUCACACCAUGAGAGUUUGUAACACCCAAAGUCGGUGGGGUAACCUUUUAGGA
RNAcentral lists this ribosomal RNA (1421 nucleotides) under Lactiplantibacillus plantarum. RNAcentral describes it as "bacterial SSU rRNA". It matches the Rfam family "Bacterial small subunit ribosomal RNA". Lineage: Bacteria; Bacillati; Bacillota; Bacilli; Lactobacillales; Lactobacillaceae. The record is from RNAcentral.